This 174-nucleotide ribosomal RNA is filed under the name uncultured bacterium. RNAcentral describes it as "partial 16S ribosomal RNA". It matches the Rfam family "Bacterial small subunit ribosomal RNA", at positions 1327 to 1500 of the family's 1533-position model. The record is from RNAcentral.
UGGAAUUGCUAGUAAUGGCAGGUCAGCAUACUGCCGUGAAUACGUUCCCGGGCCUUGUACACACCGCCCGUCACACCAUGAGAGUUGGAAAUACCCGAAGCCUGUGAGCUAACAGUAAUGAGGCAGCAGUCGAAGGUAGAGCCAAUGAUUGGGGUGAAGUCGUAACAAGGUACC